RNAcentral lists this ribosomal RNA (402 nucleotides) under uncultured bacterium. RNAcentral's name for it is "bacterial SSU rRNA". It matches the Rfam family "Bacterial small subunit ribosomal RNA", at positions 355 to 774 of the family's 1533-position model. The record is from RNAcentral.
UGGGGAAUCUUGCACAAUGGGGGAAACCCUGAUGCAGCGACGCCGCGUGAACGAUGAAGCCCUUUGGGGUGUAAAGUUCUUUCGACAGGAACGAUAAUGACGGUACCUGGAGAAGAAGCUGCGGCUAACUACGUGCCAGCAGCCGCGGUAAUACGUAGGCAGCGAGCGUUGUUCGGAGUUACUGGGCGUAAAGAGUGCGUAGGCGGCGAGCCAAGUUUGGUGUGAAAUCUCCCGGCUUAACCGGGAGGGUGCGCCGAAAACUGGUUGGCUGGAGUAUGGGAGAGGAAAGCGGAAUUCCUGGUGUAGCGGUGAAAUGCGUAGAUAUCAGGAGGAACACCUGCGGUGUAGACAGCUUUCUGGACCAAAACUGACGCUGAGGCACGAAAGCGUGGGUAGCAAACA